RNAcentral lists this ribosomal RNA (465 nucleotides) under uncultured bacterium. Its description in RNAcentral is "partial 16S ribosomal RNA". It matches the Rfam family "Bacterial small subunit ribosomal RNA", at positions 28 to 507 of the family's 1533-position model. The record is from RNAcentral.
GACGAACGCUGGCGGCGUGCUUAACACAUGCGAGUCGAACGGAAAGGCCCUGCUUGCAGGGUACUCGAGUGGCGAACGGGUGAGUAACACGUGGGUGAUCUGCCCCGCACUUCGGGAUAAGCCUGGGAAACUGGGUCUAAUACCGGAUAGGAGCCAUUUUUAGUGUGAUGGUUGGAAAGUUUUUUCGGUGUAGGAUGAGCUCGCGGCCUAUCAGCUUGUUGGUGGGGUAAUGGCCUACCAAGGCGGCGACGGGUAGCCGGCCUGAGAGGGUGGACGGCCACAUUGGGACUGAGAUACGGCCCAGACUCCUACGGGAGGCAGCAGUGGGGAAUAUUGCACAAUGGGCGCAAGCCUGAUGCAGCGACGCCGCGUGGGGGAUGACGGCCUUCGGGUUGUAAACUCCUUUCGCUAGGGACGAAGCUUUUUGUGACGGUACCUAGAUAAGAAGCACCGGCUAACUACGUG